This 320-nucleotide ribosomal RNA is filed under the name uncultured eukaryote. Its description in RNAcentral is "partial 18S ribosomal RNA". It matches the Rfam family "Eukaryotic small subunit ribosomal RNA", at positions 1470 to 1796 of the family's 1831-position model. The record is from RNAcentral.
CCCUUAGAUGCCCUGGGCUGCACGCGCGCUACACUGAUGUGAGCAACAAGUAUAUUUUCUUGCCUGAAAUGGUGUGGCAAUCUAGAAACUGCAUCGUGAUGGGGCCUGUUCAUUGUCAUUAUUGAUCUUAAACGAGGAAUUCCUAGUAAGCACAAAUCAUCAGUUUGUGCUGAUUAUGUCCCUGCCCUUUGUACACACCGCCCGUCGUUCCUACCGAUUGAAUGGUCCGGUGAAAUCUCGGGACGGCGGCUUGGUCGCUUGCGUCCGACUGCUGAAACUUGAUUAAACCAUAUCAUUUAGAGGAAGGUGAANUCGUANCA